RNAcentral lists this ribosomal RNA (468 nucleotides) under uncultured bacterium. RNAcentral describes it as "partial 16S ribosomal RNA". It matches the Rfam family "Bacterial small subunit ribosomal RNA", at positions 28 to 507 of the family's 1533-position model. The record is from RNAcentral.
GACGAACGCUGGCGGCGUGCUUAACACAUGCAAGUCGAACGGAAAGGCCCUGCUUUUGUUGGGUGCUCGAGUGGCGAACGGGUGAGUAACACGUGAGUAACAUGCCCUUGACUUUGGGAUAACUUCAGGAAACUGGGGCGAAUACCGGAUAGGAGCUCCUGAUGCAUGGUGGGGGUUGGAAAGUUUCGGCGGUUGGGGAUGGACUCGCGGCUUAUCAGCUUGUUGGUGGGGUAGUGGAUUACCACGGCUUUGACGGGUAGGCUGCCUGGGAGGGUGAACGGCCACAUGGCGACUGAGAUACGGAGCAGACUCCUACGGGCGGCAGCAGUGGGGAAUAUUGCACAACGGGCGGAAGCCUGAUGCAGCAACGCCGCGUGCGGGAUGACGUCCUUCGGGUUGUAAACCGCUUUCGCCUGUGCCGAAGCGUGAGUGACGGUAAUGGGUAAAGAAGCACCGGCUAACUACGUG